This is an RNA transcript of Brassica rapa (field mustard), 5241 nucleotides long. It is a transcript of the gene named protein transport protein Sec61 subunit beta, with no coding region annotated. NCBI's taxonomy places the organism in Eukaryota, Viridiplantae, Streptophyta, Magnoliopsida, Brassicales, Brassicaceae. The record is from RefSeq and is a predicted model, not a curated record.
UCAUAAAUGUGAUGUGUAAUUGUAGUGACCAAAAUAAAACAAAAAUAUGAAACUUUGAGUAGUGAAACUUCAAAUAUAGAAUUUCACUUCUUAUACCUUUAAUGAAUUUUUUUUAUAUAACAAAAAACUUUAUAUUUGAAGUUAUAUGAAUGUCUAUUAGAGAUGCUCUUAGAUCAGAUUUCCUAAAAAUAUAACCAAUCCAUUUAUUGGAUAUUGAUCUUAUAUUGGAACCCCAUGGUAAACGUAAAUUCAACAUUUUUGGGAACGAAACACACGUUAUUUCUUUUGUUCAAAAAGCUCCAUGAAUGUGAAUGCUUAUGUCAGUGUGUUUUCACUAUCUUCUUGCUAAUACCAAAUGUAAUAAAUAUGUAAUGUAACCAUUCAAAUCUUUCAUUCUUAUCAAAUAUUUGCUCGACAGCUGCAACUCAAACUGAAAGAAAGUACAUAUUUUCUUGAUCUUAGGUACAAAAAUAUAUCUUAUGGUCUAUUUAUUCCCAUGUGGUAAAGAAAAAAGCAUAUAUUAAAAUAGAUGAAAGUGGUGGGGCAAAACAAAGUACAGAUAAUAAAUUGAGCUGAACGGAAUGAACCUACCGCCAACGAACGAAUAAGUUUGAUAAUCAGUGCAAAAUGAAGGGACCCGAAUUGAUUUCCCCUAUCGUCUCGUCAAAAUUAUUUACCACUUCAUCAUUGCCCUUGAUUCAAGUAUAUUUCAUUUUAGUUGUGUCUCCCCCACCUUAUUUAUUAGAUCUAAUAUCAUGUUUUUCCCUUUGAUUGAUAUUCACGUAUAUGGUAUACACUCAUUGACUUACAUAACGAGUAUUACAGAUGUGUUUUCUAGGCCUAGUUACAUGAAGAUCAAAUCGAUUUUUUUUAGUUGGAAAAGGAUAUUAUGGUCCAAUUAAUUUAUUUUACUGGGAAGCCAGAGCAGCAGAGACAUACCCUUCGUAAGCAGAGCCCAAGCCGAAUAGAAACCCUACAACAUAUUUUGCGAUAUGCCAGAGAAGAACCGAAAGGACCGAGGAACAUCAAGAAAGGAGACAUGAAAUGGAAGAAAGAUGCUUCUUGCACUCGACGCCGGAACCUAGCUCAAAUAUGCUUUUGAUUGGAGAUGAGAGAAAAGAGAUGAUAAGAGGAGAGAGAGGUUUUUAUAACCUAUCCAUCUAUGGUCUAAUUUGUUUUUCUUUUACUGAAUCUAGGUCUAAUUUAUUGUUGUCAACAAUAGACAUAAUACCAAAUUUGAAUCUAUGUAGUUACAAUGACGACAACUGAAACCACACACUCGACUAGCAUUAUGAUUAGUAGACAAGUUAAGUAAACUGAAUUAACAUUUUUUGAAAUUAUCAUAAAGAGGGUAUAUUAUUAUCAAGUUCUUUGUAUUUUUUUAGUUGAAAACUUUUAUAUAAAAGGUGGAAAUAUAUAACUAAUUAAAGUGGUCCAUAUAUUCAUUUGCCACUUUUAUUAUAAAUUAUUUACCAAUCAAACUUAAAUGCUAUGGUAUAUUAUGACUUAACAAUAGUAAUCUAUAUACAAAUUUAUGCAUUAUUUCAUGAUUAUUUUUUCAACUUUUACCAAUUGUGAAUUUAGUUAUUUAAGAAUCACGAAUUGGAACAUGAUUUUUCAGUUUAUAUAUAAAUAUAAUACAAUGAAAAAGUGAAUACUUAUUUUAUAGAAAAUAAAUCAAUAGUCAUGCAUUGGUUUAUGAUGUAAUAUUCUCUAAUAUAUAUAUAUGUAUGUACACCCAUAUACAACACUGAUUGACUGGAACACAUUUAUGAAAUUUAGAGUUUUGGACUCGACCGAUAUGUACGAAGGUAAAAAAGUACCACAGUAUCUGUCGACUCUGACCGUACACAAAUCGUCAGGCUCCCAUAACUUUAUGCCCCAUAGAUAUGCAUCUCUGAGUUACAUAAUCUAUCUCCAUUUCGAGAUUCGUAAGAUGAAUUUCUUUUAAUGUCUACGUACGUACCCUCGUACGAAACUUCUUUCAUCAUUCAUAUUAUUUCUUCGUCGGUUUCCUCUAUUCGAUUACCAAGAACAUGAUUAAUAGAAGAUUCUUAGGAUUAGGAUGUGUUCUCAGCGGAAUAUAAUAAAUCGUCUCUUAAUUUUUAACUAAAAAAACUAAAAACCGGCUCAUAAAUAAGAUAUUUAAAAACCGGCUCUUAGCCUUUUUAGUUACAAGUUAAAAGACGGUGUCUUAUAUUCCGAUAAGAACUUCACCCCUCUAACGUAACAAUUAGAUCAGAUUUUGAUAAACACAUGAGAUUUUACUUAUGUAAAUAUGUAAUACAAAAAAGCUAUUGGAAAAAAUGUACAGAAACAUCUUCUAUUGAUAAAAAAAAAACAUCUUCAAGUGAUAAUUGAGUUGGAGUGGGCCUGAUCAGCAUUUAGGUCGUAGAUAUUAUUUCGUUUAUACGUUGGCUUUGAUUUUGUUCUUUAAUUUCAGAAAUCAAAAAGUCAUAAACAUUAAUUAAUUGUCUGUAAAAUCAGACAUUUCACUUCAGAUUUCUUCUCAUAUGACCUACCAAAGUUAAUGACUACACGGCAGUGUUUUUAAAACCAGACCAAUCCGAUGGUUGAACCAGAUUUGACCAUGAACCAGUCAUGUAAUCACGUUGGAUCUAAUAAUUGGUUCGACCAUGACCGGUCAAAUAGUCAGAUUAGAUCUCGGAGUUAUUAAACUGAUGAAAAUCAUUAAAACUAUCUAAAAUCUAUAAAUCAUCCAUAUAAACAUAAAAGCCAUGUUUGUGUUUAAAAUAUAUUUCUAUUGUAAUUAUGUUUCAUAUUUACUAACAUUAAUUUUAAAUUUAUACACUAAAAAUAUAUUAAACUGGAUUAUUGAACUAGGUUUCACCGGGUCGAACCAUAUUGAAUCGCGACUCAAAAAUUAUCCGGUUCAGUUUCCAGUCAGGAUUUAAAAACACGCUACACAUUAUCAAUCAUUAAGUGAUUAGCAAAGGUAGUCUUGCAAGAAGUUUUUCGUACUAAAUUUUUUAUUUUAUUUUAAAGAGAAUGAAAAAGAAAGAUGAUAAACCGACGAUAGUCAUUCUUUUUGAAAAAAAAACUCUAAAAAAAAAAUAGUUAAAAAAAUUUUAUCAUACAAGUCACUACAUAAUUUGUUAAGCUUUUGUAAGUUUUAAAUUUAAUUAUUUACUUUAAUAAAAUCAUUACUAAAUGGAUUUCACAUGAACUUGGACUAUUAUCCGAUUUUUCUUUUCUGUCGACCGCAAAAUUGUGGUCAAUGCUUUUGUUCAAAUAAUGCUGAUAGCCUUAAGAAACGGAGGAAAAAAGAAGGGAGUUCGCCCUAGAGACAAACUCUCUCGAGCCCGCAUCCCAAGGCGCCGUUUCGAUGGAUCUUCAUUGCUCCAACCACGCCGCUCUUUCCUCCUCUCUCUGAAACAGCCCUGCUCCUCUCCAUGGCCAUGAUGGUGACUAUUCCUCCGUCGAGUCUCCGCCCCCCUCCAGAUCCACCUCCGCCAUCGUUCCUUGGCUUGAUGCAGCACUGCUCCUCCUCCUUGAAGAUGAUGGUGACAGCCCUUCCUCCUCUUUCACAGCCCAGGCCUCCUUCAGAUCCGGCGCGGAACAAGCAUCUUCCGAUUGAAACUCCUCCCGUCAAGCCACCAGAACCUCCAGACCCACCAGACGUCUCCGUCAGCCUCGUUCUUUUCACUUCCUCCAGCUCUUCUCCACAAGCUACUCAAGUCCUAGAUCUGAUGUUUAAUUAUUCAAGGGUUUCAAGUAAGCUCAGUGAUGAUGGUGUUGUUCUUGUGUUCACUGGUGACACUAUCUUUGUCAACUGGCGUUCUUCUCCUGUGGUAUACAGGUUGUAUCUUUGUCAGCUCGGGAAUGGGUCUUCUCCCGGCUCUUAUUCCAGCUUUCAUUUUAUCCAUCCGCUUAUAGACGUCCAGGUCUACCUUAGCUCCUUACUCUCUGUUUACUCCUAUUCUUUUGAAAAGGAUGCAAUGCUAGAUAUGUGGGUGACUCUGGAGUUGUGGUUUUUGGCUUUAUUUGGUAGUGUACUGAUGGACUCAGUGUCCUUUGGUUAUAUCUAUGUGCCUCUUAGUGGUUUUUAUGUUGCGUUGAUGCAACUCUCUACUGCAGUAUGCAGUCCUAUUAUUGUAUUCAACCUGGUUUGUGGUGCAGUGUCUGUGUGUUUCUCUUCUUGGUGGCAGUUGAAAGAGACAAUCAUUGUGAUUUGUUGCUUGGUGAAUAUGGUUAUGGCGGGUAUUGAUUAUCCGCUUGGCUCCUGUUUGGAGCAGUCUCUUUUCCCAAUAUUUCCUCAUGUAUGGAGUGAAUUGGAUGAACAUGUGUGGUUGGUAUUGCAAGGAUUCUCCUCCCGGCUAACGCUCUUCCCUGCCUUUAGUGCAGUGGUUGUGACUCUCAGAGUUACCCGAGAUGCAAUCGUUCAAGAAACUCAUGAAACCGUUGUGAUGCGAUUUCUAAUGUUUACUUGUUGUGAUUUGUAUUUUCAUUCUAUCUUAGUUUUAUCUGUUUCGUAUUCCAUUGGGCUCUUUGUAGCUUUGUUGUACUCUCCUUUAAUGGAGCUUAAACUCUUCUGAAUUUAAUACAAUUUGGUUUGAUCAAAAAAAAAAUGCUGAUAGCCUUUAGUUUGGGCUUUGAUGGGCCUUAAGCUGGUGAUAUCCAAAACUGCCGUUUCAUUUAAGUUGAAAAACAGCCUGAUAAUUACGCUGAGGUGUCGCUCGUUUAUAGGCUGAUACUGCGUGGCGAGAAGAACCCGUCUUAUAAAAAAACCGAACAGAGUCCCGUCAACUCCAAAACUAAAGGUCCGAACAUCUCUUCGUCUCGUUAUCGUUAUCGUCGUGAUCAGAGAAUCUCUAAAGCCAAAUCUGUAAAGAAGAGAGGGAAGGAUGGUGGGAAGUGGAGCUCCACAGAGAGGAAGUGCAGCUGCAGCUGCUAGCAUGCGUAGGAGGAAGCCAAGCGGCAGCUCAAGUGGAGGAGGAGCCUCUGGUGGUGCAGCAGGAUCCAUGCUUCAGUUCUACACGGAUGACGCACCCGGUCUCAAGAUCUCCCCUAAUGUCGUCCUCGUCAUGAGCAUCGGCUUCAUUGCUUUUGUCGCUGUCCUUCAUGUCAUGGGCAAGCUUUACUUUGUCAAGUGAUCACAGAGAGAGGCUUGAAACACCCUAAAGCUACUGCUAGUGAUCAGUAUUAGACACUUGUUUUGUUUGACUCAUGUUUUAAUUUUGUGGAGUAUUAAGUUUCUUGACAUUCAAAGUUUCAGUAUUC